AGUGAACGCUGGCGGUAUGCCUAACACAUGCAAGUCGAACGGCAGCACAGUAAGAGCUUGCUCUUACGGGUGGCGAGUGGCGGACGGGUGAGGAAUACAUCGGAAUCUACUUUUUCGUGGGGGAUAACGUAGGGAAACUUACGCUAAUACCUCAUACGACCUACGGGUGAAAGCAGGAGAUCUUCGGACCUUGCGCGACUGAAUUAGCCGAUGUCGGAUUAGCUAGUUGGCUGGGUAAAGGCCCACCAAGGCGACGAUCCGUAGCUGGUCUGAGAGGAUGAUCAGCCACACUGGAACUGAGACACGGUCCAGACUCCUACGGGAGGCAGCAGUGGGGAAUAUUGGACAAUGGGCGCAAGCCUGAUCCAGCCAUACCGCGUGGGUGAAGAAGGCCUUCGGGUUGUAAAGCCCUUUUGUUGGGAAAGAAAAGCAGCAGGUUAAUACCCCGCUGUUCUGACGGUACCCAAAGAAUAAGCACCGGCUAACUUCGUG
RNAcentral lists this ribosomal RNA (492 nucleotides) under uncultured bacterium. RNAcentral describes it as "partial 16S ribosomal RNA". It matches the Rfam family "Bacterial small subunit ribosomal RNA", at positions 29 to 507 of the family's 1533-position model. The record is from RNAcentral.